CAAAACCAUAACGACUCUCGGCAACGGAUAUCUCGGCUCUCGCAUCGAUGAAGAACGUAGCGAAAUGCGAUACUUGGUGUGAAUUGCAGAAUCCCGCGAAUCAUCGAGUCUAUGAACGCAAGUUGCGCCCGAAGCCAUCUGGUCGAGGGCACGUCUGCCUGGGUGUCACGCAUCGUUGCCCCCAACCCCAUCGCCUCUCCAAGAGACGAGGGCGGUCUGCGGGGCGGACAUUGGCCUCCCGUGAGCUUUCGCUCGCGGCUGGCCUAAAAGCGAGUCCUCGGCGACGAGCGCCACGACAAUCGGUGGUUGACAAACCCUCGUGUCCCGUCGUGCGCGGCUCGUCGCUCGUCUUGUGCUCUGUGACCCUGUAGCGUCGCGCUCGCGACUCUUCCAACGCGACCCCAGGUCAGGCGGGACUACCCGCUGAA
Molecule: ribosomal RNA, 428 nt
Filed under: embryophyte environmental sample
Lineage: Eukaryota; Viridiplantae; Streptophyta
Description: eukaryotic LSU rRNA
Rfam family: 5.8S ribosomal RNA (bases 13-168)
Source: RNAcentral